GAUGAACGCUGGCGGCGUGCCUAACACAUGCAAGUCGAACGAAGCACCUUGAAGUUUUCGGACAGAUGGGUGACUGAGUGGCGGACGGGUGAGUAACGCGUGGGUAACCUGCCUCAUACAGGGGGAUAACAGUUAGAAAUGACUGCUAAUACCGCAUAAGCGCACAGAGCUGCAUGGCUCCGUGUGAAAAACUCCGGUGGUAUGAGAUGGACCCGCGUCUGAUUAGCUAGUUGGUGGGGUAACGGCUACCAAGUCGACGAUCAGUAGCCGGACUGAGAGGUUGAAACGGGCCACGAUUGGGACUGAGACACGGCCCAGACUCCUA
This 325-nucleotide ribosomal RNA is filed under the name uncultured bacterium. RNAcentral's name for it is "bacterial SSU rRNA". It matches the Rfam family "Bacterial small subunit ribosomal RNA", at positions 28 to 341 of the family's 1533-position model. The record is from RNAcentral.